GAGGAAUAUUGGUCAAUGGGCGCAAGCCUGAACCAGCCAUCCCGCGUGCAGGAAGACGGCCCUAUGGGUUGUAAACUGCUUUUCCAGGGGGAGAAACUUGCGCACGUGUUGCGCAAUUGACGGUACCCUGGGAAUAAGCAUCGGCUAACUGCGUGCCAGCAGCCGCGGUAAUACGGAGGAUGCGAGCGUUAUCCGGAUUCAUUGGGUUUAAAGGGUGCGUAGGCGGACUAUUAAGUCAGUGGUGAAAUCCUGCAGCUUAACUGCAGAACUGCCAUUGAUACUGAUAGCCUUGAGUUUGGUUAAGGUAGGCGGAAUGUGUAAUGUAGCGGUGAAAUGCUUAGAUAUUACACAGAACACCAAUUGCGUAGGCAGCUUACUGAGCCGACACUGACGCUGAGGCACGAAAGCGUGGGGAUCGAACAG
This 423-nucleotide ribosomal RNA is filed under the name uncultured bacterium. Its description in RNAcentral is "bacterial SSU rRNA". It matches the Rfam family "Bacterial small subunit ribosomal RNA", at positions 356 to 775 of the family's 1533-position model. The record is from RNAcentral.